AAUCCCCGCCUCUCCGCAGCGAAAAGUCAGACUCCUGAAGGUUUUCAGCAGCGGGAAGCGAGCACUGACCUUGUUAACAAAAACCUGCCUGGAGUCCAGGGCUCUGACGGUGGAGCCGCCAACGAGCUCGGCCGCCGCGCUGGGCGGGUCGGGUCGGGUCGGGCCCACCCCGCGGGCAGGUGCUCGGCGGUCGGCGGCCGGCCGCUGGGGGCGCCGCUCAGACCCGUCCCGGCGCGGGGACCAGCCCCCCCAGGUCGCCCCCGCAGCCCCCAGGUCGCCCCCCGCAGCCCCCAGGUCGCACCCCGCAGCCCCAGGUCGCACCUCGAAGCCACCUUGCAGCCCCCAGGUCGUCCCCUGCAGCCCCCAGGUCGCCCCCGCAGCCCCCAGGUCGCCCCCAGGUCGCCCUCUGCAGCUCCCAGGUCGCCCCCCGCAGCCCCCAGGUCGCCCCCCGCAGCCACCUUGCAGCCCCCAGGUCGCCCCCUGCAGUCCCCAGGUCGCCCCCAGGUCGCCUCCAGGUCGCCCCCUGCAGCUCCCAGGUUGUCCCCCGUAGCCCCUAGGCAGCACCCCGCAGCCCCCAGGUCGCCCCCCGCAGCCACUUUGCAGCCCCCAGGUCGCCCCCCGCAGCCCCGGGGAGGAAGGCGCCGCUCGCUCCCACCCCCCAGAGGUCUGCGGCGUCUACACAGCCGGUUCCGCGGGGUAUGUCACCGAAGGGAGCCGGAUUCCUCUGAACCCUGCAGCUCACGUUUUCCGUGCAAAGAACGAAAAGUCGAUUUUUCCCGAAAGUUUCCGAUGAAGACUUGCAAGUUUUGCAAGCGGCACCCGGCAGCCCCGCUCCCCGGGGCGCUGGCCGGUCGCGCCCCCUCCCCUCCCCUCCCCUCCCCUCCCCGGCUGCGGGCUCCCCCGGGGUCCGCCUCCCGCUGGAAGCUGCGCGCCCCGACGCGGGGGAAGAGCGGCCCCGCGGGUCCCGGCCCCCCCCGGCCCCCCGCGCCCCCGCCGCCCCCGGACUCCGGCGCAGGCCUCCCCGCCGUGCGGCUCGGGCUCGGGCUCGGGCUCGGGGUCGGGGUCGGGCGGGCUCGGCUCGGGGCGCACACAAUGGCCCACCUGCCCGGGCCGCACGGAUGCCCC
RNAcentral lists this long non-coding RNA (1125 nucleotides) under Canis lupus familiaris (dog). Its description in RNAcentral is "lncRNA (ENSCAFG00845010260.1)". The record is from RNAcentral. Lineage: Eukaryota; Metazoa; Chordata; Mammalia; Carnivora; Canidae.